GUGGGGAAUCUUGCGCAAUGGGCGAAAGCCUGACGCAGCCAUGCCGCGUGAAUGAUGAAGGUCUUAGGAUUGUAAAAUUCUUUCACCGGGGACGAUAAUGACGGUACCCGGAGAAGAAGCUCCGGCUAACUUCGUGCCAGCAGCCGCGGUAAUACGAAGGGGGCUAGCGUUGCUCGGAAUUACUGGGCGUAAAGGGCGCGUAGGCGGACAGCUUAGUCAGAGGUGAAAGCCCAGGGCUCAACCUUGGAAUUGCCUUUGAUACUGGCUGUCUUGAGUUUGGGAGAGGUGAGUGGAACUCCGAGUGUAGAGGUGAAAUUCGUAGAUAUUCGGAAGAACACCAGUGGCGAAGGCGACUCACUGGCCCAAUACUGACGCUGCGGCGCGAAAGCGUGGGGAGCAAACAGGAUUAGAAACCCCUGUAGUCC
RNAcentral lists this ribosomal RNA (425 nucleotides) under uncultured bacterium. RNAcentral describes it as "partial 16S ribosomal RNA". It matches the Rfam family "Bacterial small subunit ribosomal RNA", at positions 354 to 796 of the family's 1533-position model. The record is from RNAcentral.